CCCUUAGAUGUUCUGGGCUGCACGCGCGCUACACUGAUGCGAUCAACAAGUUUUUCCUAUGUCGAUAGACACGGGUAAUCUUUUGAACUCGCAUCGUGAUGGGGAUAGAUUAUUGUAAUUAUUAAUCUUCAACGAGGAAUUCCUAGUAGGUGCAAAUCAUCAGUUUGCGUCGAUUACGUCCCUGCCCUUUGUACACACCGCCCGUCGCUGCUACCGAUUGGUUGAUCUGGUGAAUUAUUCGGACUGCCGGCUGAAGGGGUUUCCUCAUCUGCCAGCGGAAAGUCUUGUGAACCCUAUCAACUAGAGGAAGCAGAAGUCGUAACA
This 324-nucleotide ribosomal RNA is filed under the name uncultured eukaryote. RNAcentral describes it as "partial 18S ribosomal RNA". It matches the Rfam family "Eukaryotic small subunit ribosomal RNA", at positions 1470 to 1796 of the family's 1831-position model. The record is from RNAcentral.